GGUGCGGUAGUACAGCGGUUAGUGCAUUCCCGAGUUUGAGCGAAGAACCCAGGUUCGACUCCUGGCCCCUCG
Podospora pseudocomata is the source of this 72-nucleotide non-coding RNA. NCBI's taxonomy places the organism in Eukaryota, Fungi, Ascomycota, Sordariomycetes, Sordariales, Podosporaceae. The record is from the annotation of a RefSeq genome assembly.